RNAcentral lists this ribosomal RNA (1118 nucleotides) under uncultured bacterium. RNAcentral's name for it is "bacterial SSU rRNA". It matches the Rfam family "Bacterial small subunit ribosomal RNA", at positions 353 to 1482 of the family's 1533-position model. The record is from RNAcentral.
AGUCGAGAAUUUUUCACAAUGGGGGAAACCCUGAUGGAGCGACGCCGCGUGGAGGACGAAGGCCUUCGGGUCGUAAACUCCUGUCAUGCGGGAACAAGAAAGUGAUAGUACCGCAAGAGGAAGAGACGGCUAACUCUGUGCCAGCAGCCGCGGUAAUACAGAGGUCUCAAGCGUUGUUCGGAUUCAUUGGGCGUAAAGGGUGCGCAGGCGGCGUGGAAAGUUGAGUGUGAAAUCCUGGGGCUUAACCUCAGAACUGCACUCAAUACUCCCAUGCUAGAGGAAUGUAGAGGAGAGUGGAAUUCACGGUGUAGCAGUGAAAUGCGUAGAUAUCGUGAGGAAGACCAGUUGCGAAGGCGACUCUCUGGGCAUUUCCUGACGCUCAUGCACGAAGGCCAGGGGAGCAAACGGGAUUAGAUACCCCGGUAGUCCUGGCAGUAAACGGUGCACGUUUGGUGUGGGCGGGCUCAGACCCCGUCCGUGCCGGAGCUAACGCGUUAAACGUGCCGCCUGGGAAGUACGGUCGCAAGAUUAAAACUCAAAGAAAUUGACGGGGGCCCGCACAAGCGGUGGAGUAUGUGGCUUAAUUCGAUGCAACGCGAAGAACCUUACCUGGUCUUGACAUGCAUCUCUAAGUUAAUGAAAGUUAGCGACUUGGUAGCAAUAUCAAGAAUUUGCACAGGUGCUGCAUGGCUGUCGUCAGCUCGUGUCGUGAGAUGUUGGGUUAAGUCCCGCAACGAGCGCAACCCCUGUGUCCUGUUGCCUGCAAAGGCUCUCUGGACAGACUGCCCUGUGAAACGGGGAGGAAGGUGGGGAUGACGUCAAGUCAGUAUGGCCCUUACGACCAGGGCUGCACACGUACUACAAUGCCCAGUACAGAAUGAUCCGAAUCCGCAAGGUGGAGGAAAUCUCAAAAACUGGGCCCAGUUCGGAUUGGAGGCUGCAACUCGCCUCCAUGAAGCCGGAAUCGCUAGUAAUGGCGCAUCAGCUACGGCGCCGUGAAUACGUUCCCGGGCCUUGUACACACCGCCCGUCACAUCAUGGAAGUCGUUUGUAGCCGAAGCACGUACGCCAACCCGCAAGGGAGGCAGCGUUCUACGCUAUGAGCGGUAACUGGGAUG